CAAGUGUUACCCCUUACGGUUUUUUUCAUGACGACCAAAGAAAAAAGACAGUGUCACCCCUCGUGUUUCAUUUCAUAAAAACGACAGUGUUACCCCCUAUUUACUAAUUGAUAAAUAUCGACAGUGUUACCCCUUUUUUUUUUUUUCAUGACGACCAAUAAAAAAUGACAGUGUUACCCCUUAUGUUUUUUUUCAUGACGACCAAAGAAAAACGACAGUUACCCCUCAUGUUUUUUCCAUGUUGACCAAUAAAAAACGACAGUUUUUUUAUUGGUCAAAGUCGUGGUAAAAGUCGUGCCGUGGUUUAUUUACUUUUCGCUAAAUUCAAAUAUAAUAAUACUGCGCCCUUUUUGAAAAAUGAGCUGCACUUCGUUCAUGGAAGUGAGAGUUAACCAGUUCAUAAUAAUUAUUAAUAUAUUGAGUAAAAUUCAUGUUAAAGCCGUGCUGUGGUUUAUUUAGUGUCAUCCGUAAUCACCAACACGAUUUAGCAAAACUGUCAUGCGUUUUUUAUUGUCUAACUUUUAAGGAAUAAAUCGUUUUUAGAUGUUGAAAAAUUCAUACUUGUAUGCAUAUUUUAUCAUUGUCAAUUCUACUUUAGAAAAACAUGCCAGUCCUCUGAAAAUGGUGGUGCACAGUACUGCUUGAGAACUUCCACCUGGAUGGGCACGGCAGAAGGUUCCCACACUUUAUGGAGGAGGCCAAACAAAUGGCGGCUGGAAUACUUCCCCCAGUCCUCAGACUGAAGCGAAAAAGAGAAGUGAAUCACGUUUCCAGUGACAGAAUACAAAUAAUAUAUUGUAUAGGCUUAACAUUGAUUUGACUGUUUGAUUCUUUUGACAGUGAGUUGGAGCUGAUGGCAGUCAGCAUGAAGAAACUAUAUCUUUAAGCUUCCGUAGAUUAUUUGUUAAAUAAAUUGUGAGGUAACUUU
Long non-coding RNA from Gadus macrocephalus (Pacific cod), 928 nucleotides. RefSeq lists it as uncharacterized. The transcript has 2 exons. NCBI's taxonomy places the organism in Eukaryota, Metazoa, Chordata, Actinopteri, Gadiformes, Gadidae. The record is from RefSeq and is a predicted model, not a curated record.